GAUCCUGGCUCAGGAUGAACGCUAGCUACAGGCUUAACACAUGCAAGUCGAGGGGCAGCAUGAACUUAGCUUGCUAAGUUUGAUGGCGACCGGCGCACGGGUGAGUAACACGUAUCCAACCUUCCGUUUACUCAGGGAUAGCCUUUCGAAAGAAAGAUUAAUACCUGAUAGUAUGGUGAGAUUGCAUGAUAACACCAUUAAAGAUUUAUUGGUAAACGAUGGGGAUGCGUUCCAUUAAG
This 239-nucleotide ribosomal RNA is filed under the name uncultured bacterium. Its description in RNAcentral is "partial 16S ribosomal RNA". It matches the Rfam family "Bacterial small subunit ribosomal RNA", at positions 15 to 245 of the family's 1533-position model. The record is from RNAcentral.